RNAcentral lists this long non-coding RNA (913 nucleotides) under Chloebia gouldiae (Gouldian finch). Its description in RNAcentral is "Erythrura gouldiae (Gouldian finch) lncRNA (ENSEGOG00005018357.1)". The record is from RNAcentral. Lineage: Eukaryota; Metazoa; Chordata; Aves; Passeriformes; Passeridae.
UUUGUGUGCCUUGGAAUGGCUGAAACUAUGGGAAGGAUCCACAGUUUUUAUAUGCUUUGGAAUGGCUGAAACUGUGGGAAGGAUCCCCAUUUUUAUGUGUUUGAUGUGAAACUGGUUGAGGAUGACCCAGUCCCAGGUGGGCCAGGCUGGAGAUGCUGAACAGCAGAGGCAGCAAAACUCAAACAGAGGGAUUGGAUGUGGGAAGGGAAAAGCAUUUUUGUUCCUGUUUUCAGACAGUCCUGCUUUGUUGCAUGCCUGAAAUGCACAAUUCCCAUUUUCCUUUGCUGCUGUGCAGGUGGUUUUUGCUCUGGGAGCCCUGUUCAAUACGUUCUGGCUGAUGGAAGUGGGCAGAUUCGUGUUUGGGAUUGGUGGCGAGUCCUUGGCGGUGGCCCAGAACACGUAUGCAGUGAGCUGGUUCAAGGGCAAGGAGCUGAACCUGGUGUUUGGAUUGCAGCUCAGCAUGGCCAGGAUUGGGAGCACGGUGAACAUGAAUAUUAUGGGCUGGAUCUACUCCAGAGUUCAGGAUCUCCUGGGCUACGCUGGUCCCAGCACGCUCGGCGUGGCUCUGCUCAUAGGUGGGGUCACCUGCCUCUUCUCACUGAGCUGUGCUUUGAUCCUGGCUUACCUGGACAGGAGAGCAGAGAAGCUGCUCUGUAAAGAGCAGGGGAAAACAGGUGAGUGCUGGGGCUGGCCCUUCCAGCUGCCCUGCACCAGCCAGGGUUGCAUUUCAGCUGCUUCACUGCCUGCUGCUUAACUUUGUCACACUGCUGAUCAUAACUUUUAGCUCAUUUUUACAUGGAAUUUUAGUUUUAAACACCAGCUCAGCAGGCGGAUGCACUGCCAGCUGCUUUAUGUAUAAAAAACAAAGUUUGCAGCAGUUUGUGCCAUUGGUUCUGUGCUCUUUUUUUUUGGG